UACGUAGGGGGCGAGCGUUGUCCGGAGUUACUGGGCGUAAAGCGCACGCAGGCGGUGCUGUAAGUUUGGGGUGACAGCUCUCGGCUCAACCGAGAGAGCGUCUCGAAGACUGCAGGACUUGAGGGCCAGAGAGGGACACAGAAUUCCGGGUGGAGUGGUGAAAUGCGUAGAUAUCCGGAGGAAUACCAAAGGCGAAGGCAGUGUCCUGGCUGGUACCUGACGCUCAGGUGCGAAAGCUAGGGGAGCGAACGGG
RNAcentral lists this ribosomal RNA (253 nucleotides) under uncultured Ktedonobacter sp. Its description in RNAcentral is "partial 16S ribosomal RNA". It matches the Rfam family "Bacterial small subunit ribosomal RNA", at positions 524 to 776 of the family's 1533-position model. The record is from RNAcentral. Lineage: Bacteria; Bacillati; Chloroflexota; Ktedonobacteria; Ktedonobacterales; Ktedonobacteraceae.